AAAUCUGAGACAGCCUUGGUCUGAGGGAGAAAAGACAGAGAAUUCAUGUGCUGCCCAGGCAUAGCCACAUAGCAGGUGGACAUCCCUGGACACUUUUCUGAGAUUUUAUGUCAUAGACCCUCAUUGGAUUUUCCUGGAAGUAUGGAGAGUUACAUCCAGAGAACUCUGAACAUUUUGGAAGAACCCCAAUCCUGCAAACAAUGAAUGGCAAUAAAUCCUGGGACUGGAAAGGGGCUUCUCAACCCCAAGGGCAACCAUAAAGUCCUAUACAAAGAAAGAUACAGCAGUGUGAAAGAGGCCUGGAUGGAAAAACAAAGACAGAGCCAGUGAGCCAGAGCCAGAGCCAGAGAACAAGAGAGAAAGGCAGAGAAUGGAAAACACAGACAGAGAAGGCAGAUGCAUAGAAAGACAGAGAUUCAAUGAGAAAAUAAGGAAGGAAGAAAGAAAGAAAACAAAAACGUUCUCAGCACUACAACUUCUGCCUUGUUCUGUUCCAGAACAGUAUGAGCUCAGUACUUUUUCAGUCUCUCAAUUUUCUACAACUAAUAAUUUGCUCUUUCAGUUAGUGGCAAAGGCUUAACAACAAAGGUUCAUCUUUAAUAUUAGAGAGGCACUUUUAAAAUUUAUGAUGCUAAGCCUUUUGUUCUGGAUAUGGUAUGUUGCACAGGUCUAAGG
This 675-nucleotide non-coding RNA is filed under the name Pongo abelii (Sumatran orangutan). The record is from RNAcentral. Lineage: Eukaryota; Metazoa; Chordata; Mammalia; Primates; Hominidae.